Non-coding RNA from Phalacrocorax carbo (great cormorant), 1335 nucleotides. The record is from RefSeq and is a predicted model, not a curated record. NCBI's taxonomy places the organism in Eukaryota, Metazoa, Chordata, Aves, Suliformes, Phalacrocoracidae.
GGCUAUGGAUAACCUGGGCCACAGGAGCUUUCCCUGCUCUGGGUUCCUGCAUUCUGGGUCCCCCAGGAGCACAGCUGUGUGAUGAACAUAGGUGUGGGGAAGAGCUUCAUCAUGCUGAAGACUUUGGUUGCAUUUAUGGAUUUCACCUUUGCAAAAUACCUGUGUGAGUCCCAAGCCUCCUCAGCUUCUCCACAGAUCCAGCAGAAAGCACCGCCAUAGAUCCAGCAGCAUCAUUGAGAGAGGAUGCCAGCAAAAGAGAGUAUCUGCCCAGCAAUUGGUGUCACCUAAACCUGCUAAAUAAGCCAAGGACAUUGGUCAGGGCCACCAAGCAGGGGUUACGCAUCUUGGCUCACCUGAGACGGCUCCAUGGCGAGACUCUGGAAGACCUUAGCCCUUUGCAUUCACUUUUCUGAAUUUUUCUCUUUUACUCUGUGAGUUGCAUGAAGAAGGAGCUGAAGCUGCAGCUGUUGAGCUCUCCUUCCAUGGGCCAGCCCUUCUCUUGUCCUGCUGAUGCUGCUUGGGUGGAAAAUGUUCCCUCUCCUCCAGGUUUAACAGACUGUCUUCUCUGGUCAGAUUGGCUUUUAUCUCCCAUCCCAAUGGCUCGCAACUGCUCCUGUUGUCCCUUAAAAUACAGCAUCAUCUCUGCCCCAGGGUUUGUUUUUCUCAUCUUUCAGAAGGAAAAGGCAUGCAAGUUAUUCACUCACCUGUCCCCUGCUUUUGUUUCUCCUUCCAAUGAGUGUUCAAGUCCUUCGAUGACGUCUGGAGGCUGUGGGAGCCUCCCAUCACUGGCAGAUGCAAGAGGAGACAUCAUGCCUGGAGAGGAAGCAGCAAAGCCUGAGCUGGAGCUGGGGACUUGCGGGGGGAGAUCAAAAACAUCUUAGCAGCAGGGGCCGCAGCAGCAAGGAGCCCAUGUGCCAUGAGGGAGUACCCACAGCCAGGGCAGGAUGGAAGCAAAAGAGCAUGAUGGCAUGGAUGGUGUUUGUGGUUGGAGACAGUCGUGAUGGUGCCUUCCUGCAGCAUGAGAAGGGGCAGAUGGCUGUGGGAAAACCCCAAGACCCAGCAGGCUCUGCAGCAUGGAUAAUGAGGUGCUGGAACAUUUCAGGGUGACUCACCGUUGUUGAGGGCAGUUCAACAUCCAAACACAGCAUCAAAAUGGGAGCUUUCAGCUGGUAGAAGUUUUAUCCCACAUCAGGGAUGCUUGCAAUCCAUCUCCGUGCCAGAAGUUUGCUGCUGAAACACAGGCUCUGUAGCUGAAACUUCAUUUUCUUGCUCUGGAUUGUAUAUUUUCCCUCAUUGUAUCAGUUAUCUAGCUGUCCACACCCCUCUCUCUGCAAA